Molecule: ribosomal RNA, 492 nt
Filed under: uncultured bacterium
Lineage: Bacteria
Description: partial 16S ribosomal RNA
Rfam family: Bacterial small subunit ribosomal RNA
Source: RNAcentral
AGUGAACGCUGGCGGUAGGCCUAACACAUGCAAGUCGAACGGCAGCACAGUAAGAGCUUGCUCUUACGGGUGGCGAGUGGCGGACGGGUGAGGAAUACAUCGGAAUCUACUUUUUCGUGGGGGAUCACGUAGGUAAACUUACGCUAAUACCGCAUACGACCUACGGGUGAAAGCAGGGGAUCUUCGCACCUUGCGCGAUUGAAUGAGCCGAUUUCGGAUUAGCUAGUUGGCGGGGUAAAGGCCCACCAAGGCGACGAUCCGUAGCUGGUGUGAGAGGAUGAUCAGCCACACUGGAACUGAGACACGGUCCAGACUCCUAAGGGAGGCAGCAGUGGGGAAUAUUGGACAAUGGGCGCAAGCCUGAUCCAGCCAUACCGCGUGGGUGAAGAAGGCCUUCGGGUUGUAAAGCCCUCUUGUUGGGAAAGAAAAGCAGCAGGUUAAUACCACGCUGUUCUGACGGUACCCAAAGAAUAAGCACCGGCUAACUUCGUG